RNAcentral lists this long non-coding RNA (280 nucleotides) under Capsicum annuum. Its description in RNAcentral is "long non-coding RNA (CANN_LNC009100)". Lineage: Eukaryota; Viridiplantae; Streptophyta; Magnoliopsida; Solanales; Solanaceae. The record is from RNAcentral.
UGAAGGUAGUCUAAGGGCCUUGAGAGAGGUAACCAUGGAUGCUUUGCUGGCGGCCAUAAUGAGCGUAAAACAUGAUUGUAUUGGUCGAAUGAAGAGAGAGGAGGGAGGGAUGGACGGGAUGGAGGGUUCUUUUUCAAGGAGAAUGGAUACAUUGGAAGUUCGUUUAGAUUCCAACCAUUCAAGUCCCAAACACUACCAUGCCUUGACUAGUGGACAUGUUACCACCCCGGAUACACUUCACCAAUUGCUCAAUCCACCUAGACCAACCCAUGAACCCAUC